UGGGCACCGUCGCAGGCCGCGGCGUACGCACGCACGGGGAUUGCGCAGACCUCCUCGUCCGCGUUCUAUGGAACUCAUUUCGAGCCAACAGGUUUUUAGGCCUGAAUAGCCGGUAGGAUGUAAGAGCAGCCCCACUUCCGGGGAAUAGCCGGUAGGAUGUGAGAGCAGCCCCAUUUCCGGUAGCGCCGGAAGCAGCUGGAACAUGGCGGCCUCCUGCUGCCACGGGCUGGCGCCGGCGAACCGAGAACUGAGUUUCGUCCGCAGCAGCCGAAGCCGGAGAAGCGAGAUGAAUCAGAACUCCUCACUGUACCUGAUGGUUGGAAGGAACCUGCGUUUUCUAAAAAGGACAAUCCCAGAGGCCUCUUGGAGGAGAGCAGUUUUGCAACUUUGUUCCCAAAAUCUAGAGAGGCUUACUUGAAAGAGUGCUGGCCUUUGGUACAGAAGAGCCUUGAAUGAACAUCACAUUAAUGCAAUCCUGGACCUGAUCGAGGGCAAUAUGUACGACAAAGAAGACUUUUGAUCCAUGUAUCAUCAUUAGGGCCAGAGACCUAAUUAAAACUUUUAGCAAGAAGUGUAUCAUUUGAACAGACCUUAAUGAUUAAACAAGAGUUGGCAAAAGAUUCUGAAUUAAGAUCACAAAGUUGGGAAGGAUUCUUGCCACAGUUCAAGCACAAAAUGUGAAUAAACGGAAGGAACCAAAGAAAAAAACUUAAGAAAAAAUACACACCAUUCUCACCACCACAGCCAGAAAGUCAGGUCAGUAUUAAGUGUUGAAUUUCUUUACAUGAGGGGGAUACUAUUUUAACCUAUUUCGUUAGAAAGUUUAUGGAGAGUUAUUUAGGUAGACUGUGUGUGUGUGUGUGUGUGUGUGUGUACACGUAGGGGGCAGGGUAUAAGAAACCAAAGGUAAGUGUAAAUCGGCUAAGUAUGUGAAUGUGGGAAGUAGGGGCUGCACAGUAAGAAUGUAAACUAUAUCUAGGUAGUUGCUGUCCGUUGUGCCCCUGUGGCCACAAUAAAGAUUCCAUGGAUUAACACACACACACACACACACACACACACACACACACACAGAAUUUAACCCUUAAUGCUCUCACUCUGCUUUAGCAUCAGUCCUAUGACCAUGUGCUAUAAUAACUGCUCCAGUUUUUUGGGGGGUUUUGGGUUUUCUCUUUUUAAAGAUUUUAUUUAUUCAUGAGACAGAGAAAAAGAGAGGCAGAGACGCAGGCAGAGGGAGAAGCAGGCUCCAUGCAGGGAGCCCGACGCGGGACUCGAUCCCAGGUCUCCAGGAUCAGGCCCCCUGCUGCAGGCGGCACUAAACCGCUGAGCCACCCGGACUGUCCAGACUGCUCCAGUUUUGAAAUCCUAAAUUCUAACAUCUGUACCCUUUUGUUAAAAUAGAAGUUAUGAAUGCCUCUCAUUUUCUUACUUGUUUUCUGGCUUCACUUUUUGCCCCAAAUUUCCUUUUCUCUCUUGCUUGUCACUUUUCUUUUAUGCUGCUUUUUCCUUCUAUCACAUCUGUCCAGCAAAACUCUCAAACUUGGUCAGUCCUAAAAUUUGACUUCUUUCCCAAAAUGUGGCUGCUAAACAUAGCUGGAGAAAGUCUUAUUUUUGGACUAUAUCCACUAUAAUUUUGCGUUUCCAGGCUCAGAUCCUCACUGUUGUCUGGUAGUUCUCUGUCCUCUUAAUUCUUGAAGCACCUUCUCACCUCUAGCAGAUGACAUUACAUUUUAUUUUAUGGCAAUAUUUAAGACCCUCAAGUGAGAACUCUUUCAACUUCCCUUUUCUCUCACCUAUGAUUUCUUUUCCAUCUGCACCAAACCUUUCUUCACCUGUUCUUUGAAUCUGUCUUCGUCUGUCUCCUGAAGGAUCUUACUUCAUGAUUCCCUACCUUGGCUGUAUCUUAAAGUCUUUCCUUUCUACUAGAUCAUGGUGAUAAAACAACAGAAAUGUUGGAUCAAGAGGUCUAUUCUGGAAAGGGAAGCAAAGAAAGGAACUGUUAGUUGGGGGAAGGUACAGUGAUCUUACUACUCAACUGUGCUUCCAUAACACUUGCCAUACUUCUUAUGGGCCUGUCCUGUGGUUAGUAAUUGUCUUAUCUUUCUCUUCUAUGACUAAGCUUCUAAAAACAGUAAUGUCCCAGUUGACUUCUUCUGCCACUUACUUGCUUCAUGACUGGCAAUUUAUUUAACCUACCCAUGCCUCAAUUUCCCUGUACAUAAAAUGAGGAUAAUAAAAAUACCUAUUUCAAAGGAUUGUUAAUAAGAAUUAAAUGAUUAGUAAUUGUGUAAAGAGGUUAGUAAUUAUUUUUUUUUAAUUUUUUUUAAUUUUUAUUUAUUUAUGAUAGUUAGAGAGAGAGAGAUGCAGAGACAUAGGCAGAGGGAGAAGCAGGCUCCAUGCACCGGGAGCCCGAUGUGGGAUUCGAUCCCGGGUCUCCAGGAUCGCGCCCCGGGCCAAAGGCAGGCACCAAACCGCUGCGCCACCCAGGGAUCCCAGAAGUUAGUAAUUAUUAAGAGUUUAAAAUGUUGCCUUAGAUUUAAUCUGUGUAAAUUUGAGAUAAAUCAAUUAUAUAUUGAAUGAAUAAGCUGUGCUUUCUCUAAUUAGUAUUGAAUUAGUCCCCAAAUCCUAACAAUUCUAGCUCUUCAUUUUGCAUGCCAUUACUUUAUUCCAAGUGUUUUUAUCUUCUUUCUUCUGUACCUUUUUUUUUUUUUUUUAAGAUUUUAUUUGUUCAUGAGAGAGACAGAGAAAGAGACACAGGCAGAGGGAGAAGCAGGCCCCAUGCAGGGAACCCGAUGUGGGACUCAAUCCCGGGACUCCAGGAUCAUGCCCUGGGCCAAAGGCAGGCGCUAAACUGCUGAGCCACGCAGGGAUCCCCAUCUUCUGUACCUUCUAUAUGCUGCUUUGGUCUCUAUUUCUCUCAGAAGCCUGCAGUCAUUUCUAAAUCAUAGCCCACCCUCUCCACCUGGCAUUCAUGUUUCUUCAAGCAUACCUCAUAUUAUCUUUCCAGUUUCCUCACAUCUUCCUGAAUCAUUGAUGUUCUAUCCCAUCUAAAACAGCCUGCUGUAUAUUUCAUGAACACAUCACCUCUUUCCUACCUCUGUGCUUUUUGUGUGUAUUCCCUUCAGCUUAGAGAGCACAUCUUUUUUUAUGUCACUGCCUUUAUAAACUAAUCAUAGAUUUUUGACCUUACUAUUUCUAUCCCAAGGGCAUUAUGCCUUUCUUAGGAAAUGACUUCCCAUCUACCUUAUUUCUGAUAUAAUUGUAAAUACUGAUUUCAACAGAUUGAUAAAGAAUUGGCUAGUGGUGAAUAUUUUCUGAAGGCAAGUCAAAAAAGAAGUGUCAGAAAAUGGAAGCCGCAAAGGUAAGACUCUUAUCUAGUUCACAACAUUGAUAGUAUAGACUUAACGAUAAAUCGUUCUUAUAAUAAUGCAGGCUAAACAAGCAGAAGCUCUCAGUAAGAGACAAGAGGAAAGAAACAAAGCUUUUAUUCCACCUAAAGAGAAACCAGUGGUGAAACCAAAGGAAGCUUCUACUGAAAAUAAAAUUGAUGUGGCUGCCAUCAAGGAAAAGGUUAAGAAAGCAAAGAAUAAGAAACUGGGAGCUCUUUCAGGUGAAGAAGUUAAGCUUAAAAUGGAAGCAGAUGAAAAAAGAAAGAAGAAAAAGUAGCAUUAAAAAAAGUCCCUAAAUGAGAACUCAUGAAGCUAUAUCCUUUUGUAAAGUAUUUUGAAAUACUGGGGCGUCAACAGCCUAUGUGAUAAGGAAUACUCUGAUUACAUUUUCUGAGUUUGUGUCAUUCUUCAAAAUAGUGUUUAUAUAAACAACUGUUCUUUAUAAAUAAGAAUUAUUGUAUUCCCUGUGUGUUUUUUGAAAAAUGUAAUGCUAAGUGGUGUAUACAUCUUUGUAUACAUUGCACCUUAUCUGUUUUGGCAUGUUUUGCCUUAGCAUGAUUUUAGGUGUAAUUUUUAGGUAGUUUAUGUAAAGAUGUGUGGAAUGUGGUUAUUGUAAUUGUCCAUCAGUUCCAGUGUUUGAUGCCACUGGUUAGUCUUUAAAUAAAAUCAUGUCCCAUCAUUUGGAUUUCAGCAAAAUAAAUACAGAUUUUACAGAGUUCUCUUUAAUGAAAAUGAGUAAACAUUUAGGCUUCUUUUUAUGAUCUUAUUUUAUGUUUAAGAUUAAACAACCCACAAGCAAAAACACCUCUUAAAUCCAUUAAUUACUAUUAUGAGUCUAAGAAAGUGGUAAACCAAAGACCUCAGAUUGCAAGAGAGCAGGGAAAACCAGAUGUUUAGAAUUGAAGCAGCAUGCAACAAGUUAUGUAGAAAUGUUUUUAGUAACGAGGGCCAGCGGAGUCAUUUAUUUAGAAUCACCUAAAUCUAGCACAUUCAUUUUGUAGUUUUAGAAGCUGAGACAGAGGCUGGGCUACUUACUGAAAGUCACAGCUGUAGCAGCCUGAAAACAAUGCUUAUUCAUAGAAAAGUGGAAGGUAAAAAAUGAGUUUAUUCUAGAGUGAGGAAAUUGAACAGAUUUUUCUUUUGAUUAAAGGUUUACUGCAACAUAUUUUUUUCUGAAAUGUUUUAAAAUUAGAAAUAAAUAUACCCAACCAUU
Molecule: RNA transcript, 4599 nt
Organism: Nyctereutes procyonoides (raccoon dog)
Lineage: Eukaryota; Metazoa; Chordata; Mammalia; Carnivora; Canidae
Gene: KRR1
Gene name: KRR1 small subunit processome component homolog
Exons: 5
Source: RefSeq, a predicted model, not a curated record